Molecule: ribosomal RNA, 406 nt
Filed under: uncultured bacterium
Lineage: Bacteria
Description: partial 16S ribosomal RNA
Rfam family: Bacterial small subunit ribosomal RNA
Source: RNAcentral
AUUGAACGCUGGCGGCAGGCCUAACACAUGCAAGUCGAACGAGUGGCGGACGGGUGAGUAAUGUCUGGGCAACUGCCUGAUGGAGGGGGAUAACUACUGGAAACGGUAGCUAAUACCGCAUACCAUCAGAUGUGCCCAGAUGGGAUUAGCUUGUUGGUGGGGUAACGGCUCACAAGGGCGACGAUCCCUAGCUGGCCGGAGAGGAUGACCAGCCACACUGGAACGGAGAGACGGUCCAGACUCCUACGGGAGGCAGCAGGGGGGAAUAUUGGACAAUGGGCGAAAGCCUGAGGCAGCCAUGCCGCGGGUAUGAAGAAGGCCUUCGGGUUGUAAAGUACGUUCAGCGGGGAGGCGUUACCCGCAGAAGAAGCACCGGCUAACUCCGUGCCAGCAGCCGCGGUAAUAC